UUUUAGCCCUGACAGAGCCUUUGUUGGAGCUCUUUUUACAAAAUGAAAUGGCGUAAAAAAGCGACUGGCGAUGGCAGGAAUAAGG
Molecule: small RNA, 85 nt
Filed under: Flavobacterium croceum DSM 17960
Lineage: Bacteria; Pseudomonadati; Bacteroidota; Flavobacteriia; Flavobacteriales; Flavobacteriaceae
Description: Flavo-1 RNA
Source: RNAcentral